UAUAAACCACUUUGUCAAUGCUUAAUAUUAAUUAAUAUUGUCUGAUCCUGGAAACUAAGCAAGAUUGGACCUGUUUAGUACUUGGAUGGGACACCGCUGAGAAAAUCAGUGAUAC
RNAcentral lists this ribosomal RNA (115 nucleotides) under Periophthalmus magnuspinnatus. The record is from RNAcentral. Lineage: Eukaryota; Metazoa; Chordata; Actinopteri; Gobiiformes; Gobiidae.